This 253-nucleotide ribosomal RNA is filed under the name uncultured bacterium. RNAcentral describes it as "partial 16S ribosomal RNA". It matches the Rfam family "Bacterial small subunit ribosomal RNA", at positions 524 to 776 of the family's 1533-position model. The record is from RNAcentral.
UACGUAGGCAGCGAGCGUUGUUCGGAGUUACUGGGCGUAAAGGGUGUGUAGGCGGUCCUCUAAGUUUGGUGUGAAAUCUCCCGGCUCAACCGGGAGGGUGCGCCGAAAACUGGAGGGCUAGAGUGCGGGAAGGGAGAGUGGAAUUCCUGGUGUAGCGGUGAAAUGCGUAGAGAUCGGAAAGAACACCAACGGCGAAAGCACUCUGCUGGGCCGACACUGACACUGAGAGACGAAAGCUAGGGGAGCGAAUGGG